AGAGUUUGAUCCUGGCUCAGAACGAACGCUGGCGGCGUGCCUAACACAUGCAAGUCCAACGUGAAAGGGGAGCAAUCCCCCGGUAGGGUGGCAAACGGGUAGAGUAAUACAUGGGUGAUCUACCUUAGGGAUGGGAGUAUCCUUCCGAAAGGAGGGGCGAAUACCGAUAUUGUCCGGAGCCGUGAAGGGUUCCGGGGAAGGGAGGCCUCUGACACAAGCUUUCGCCUUAAGAUGAGCCCAUGGCCCACUCAGCUAGUUGGGUAGGGUAAAGGCCUACCAAGGCUACGACGGGUCGCUGGUCUGAGAGGACGACCAGCCACACUGGCACUGAGAUACGGGCCAGAC
RNAcentral lists this ribosomal RNA (345 nucleotides) under uncultured prokaryote. RNAcentral's name for it is "bacterial SSU rRNA". It matches the Rfam family "Bacterial small subunit ribosomal RNA", at positions 8 to 336 of the family's 1533-position model. The record is from RNAcentral.